ACAGCCACCUGGUGUGCUGGUUUCAGAUCCUAUCUGCACACGAAGUUCAUCAAACUUUAAAGAACAAAAACCUGCCACUGGAUGUCUUGUCCUUGCCACGCAAGGUGCUUCGGUGAAAAGGAAACCUAAUGAAGAUGAAUUCGAGCUUAACCGCGUGCAAAUGACCUCUUCCCUGAGGGAAGCAGCUCCUCCUUUGCAUCGCGGAUGAUGGCAGGCUGCCUGCACCUCCGAGCACGUCGCCAGCGCUGCUCGUGUAACCUGUGCAGGCAGUACCCACCUCGAGAAGGCUCCUUGCAUUGGCAUGGAUGCAGCAGGGAGGGUGUGAAGGGCAACUGCAGCUGAAGAUGCUGAGCCAGCUGGGGCUGCUGCCAAGCAUCCCCCGACUCACCUGGACCAGCCGAAGAGGGGCGGUGCGGCACAGGAGAAGGCCAUUAUCCAGGUAAAAGCGAUGCCCAUCAUGGCGUGGGUCGCGGAGAAGCGGAAGUUUCCCAUGGGCUUGCAGACGACGAUGUAGCGUUCGAUGGCCAGGACCACCAGGGACCACAGGGCAACCUGGCCUGCGGGAGGGAGGGAAGGAGAGCGUGCGGUGGUGGUGGGAGCUCCUCUGGGCUUGUGCUUCCCUUCGUGGUCACAGUGAAGAGCAGCGGGGAUGGAGGGGUGGGGGAUCAGCAAAGGAUAACCCACGUCCCAUGCGGUAACUGAGAACCUCCCUCAGACGUGUAAAAGGUCUGGGAGCUGAGGGAGCAUCUGCGUUGUGGUGGGAUGCUGGUGAUGGAGGAGGGGGAUCGUUGUUGAUUUUUUGUUGAUUUAAAAAAAAAAAAUCAACAGGCAGUAAGGGCGCAAGGAAGCAUAGUUUCUGGCAAAGAUGCCAGAUGCGUUCAGACCUGUUGAUGCCUUUAAAUGUGUGUUUCAGGAGUCUUCUGCCAGUGCUGGAUCGGGGGGAGGCAUGCAGGGGAGGCUGUGUGGGUGAGCGUGCAUGCACAUGUAUUUAUAAGGGAUAAUUAAACUUCAGGGGAUUGGGAGCGUUUAGUCGGUGCUGUAAGCCUGCUAAUGCCCCCAGCUGUGAUAAUCUGCUGAUAACUACACCCUGUGCUAGGAUUCACUGGAGACCUGCUGCUCAGUGAUUGCUUCCCAUCAA
This is a long non-coding RNA of Cygnus olor (mute swan), 1138 nucleotides long. RefSeq lists it as uncharacterized. The transcript is spliced from 3 exons. NCBI's taxonomy places the organism in Eukaryota, Metazoa, Chordata, Aves, Anseriformes, Anatidae. The record is from RefSeq and is a predicted model, not a curated record.